This 749-nucleotide ribosomal RNA is filed under the name uncultured Capnocytophaga sp. Its description in RNAcentral is "bacterial SSU rRNA". It matches the Rfam family "Bacterial small subunit ribosomal RNA", at positions 28 to 776 of the family's 1533-position model. The record is from RNAcentral. Lineage: Bacteria; Pseudomonadati; Bacteroidota; Flavobacteriia; Flavobacteriales; Flavobacteriaceae.
GAUGAACGCUAGCGGCAGGCCUAACACAUGCAAGUCGAGGGAGAGGUUAUCUUCGGGUAACCAAAACCGGCGCACGGGUGCGUAACGCGUAUACAAUCUGCCUUUCACAUAGGGAUAGCCCGAAGAAAUUUGGAUUAAUACCUAAUGGUAUAUAGGAGCGGCAUCGUUUUUAUAUUAAAGCUACGGUGGUGAAAGAUGAGUAUGCGUUCUAUUAGCUAGUUGGAGAGGUAACGGCUCCCCAAGGCGACGAUAGAUAGGGGUUCUGAGAGGGAUGUCCCCCACACUGGUACUGAGAUACGGACCAGACUCCUACGGGAGGCAGCAGUGAGGAAUAUUGGACAAUGGUCGGAAGACUGAUCCAGCCAUGCCGCGUGCAGGAUGAAGGUCCUAUGGAUUGUAAACUGCUUUUGUAAGGGAAGAAUAAGGAGUACGUGUACUUUGAUGACGGUACCUUACGAAUAAGCAUCGGCUAACUCCGUGCCAGCAGCCGCGGUAAUACGGAGGAUGCGAGCGUUAUCCGGAAUCAUUGGGUUUAAAGCGUCCGUAGGUUUUUUGCUAAGUCUGGAGUUAAAUGCUGAAGCUCAACUUCAGUCCGCUUUGGAUACUGGCAAAAUAGAAUUAUAAAGAGGUUAGCGGAAUUCCUAGUGAAGCGGUGGAAUGCGUAGAUAUUAGGAAGAACACCAAUAGGCGAAGGCAGCUAACUGGUUAUAUAUUGACACUAAGGGACGAAAGCGUGGGGAGCAAACAGG